RNAcentral lists this ribosomal RNA (253 nucleotides) under uncultured bacterium. Its description in RNAcentral is "partial 16S ribosomal RNA". It matches the Rfam family "Bacterial small subunit ribosomal RNA", at positions 524 to 776 of the family's 1533-position model. The record is from RNAcentral.
GACGAACCGUGCGAACGUUGUUCGGAAUCACUGGGCUUAAAGGGCGCGUAGGCGGGCGCAUCAGUCAGGGGUGAAAGCCCACGGCCCAACCGUGGAAGUGCCCCUGAGACGGUGCGUCUCGAGGGAGGUAGGGGCGUGCGGAACUUCCGGUGGAGCGGUGAAAUGCGUAGAUAUCGGAAGGAACACCGGUGGCGAAAGCGGCGCGCUGGACCUCUUCUGACGCUGAGGCGCGAAAGCCAGGGGAGCAAACGGG